CCUACGGGAGGCUGCAGUGGGGAAUAUUGGACAAUGGGCGAAAGCCUGAUCCAGCCAUGCCGCGUGUGUGAAGAAGGCCUUCGGGUUGUAAAGCACUUUCAGUGGGGAAGAAAGCCUUGGGGCUAAUACCCUCGAGGAAGGACAUCACCCACAGAAGAAGCACCGGCUAACUCCGUGCCAGCAGCCGCGGUAAUACGGAGGGUGCGAGCGUUAAUCGGAAUUACUGGGCGUAAAGCGCGCGUAGGCGGUCUGAUAAGCCGGUUGUGAAAGCCCCGGGCUCAACCUGGGAACGGCAUCCGGAACUGUCAGGCUAGAGUGCAGGAGAGGAAGGUAGAAUUCCCGGUGUAGCGGUGAAAUGCGUAGAGAUCGGGAGGAAUACCAGUUGCGAAGGCGGCCUUCUGGACUGACACUGACGCUGAGGUGCGAAAGCGUGGGUAGCAAACAGGAUUAGAUACCCGAGUAGUC
This 465-nucleotide ribosomal RNA is filed under the name Vreelandella stevensii. RNAcentral describes it as "partial 16S ribosomal RNA". It matches the Rfam family "Bacterial small subunit ribosomal RNA", at positions 338 to 795 of the family's 1533-position model. Lineage: Bacteria; Pseudomonadati; Pseudomonadota; Gammaproteobacteria; Oceanospirillales; Halomonadaceae. The record is from RNAcentral.